CUUGGACUGAGUACGGGGCGCGGCACUGGACUGGAGGGGAUGGCACCACGCUUUCCAGAGAAGCCAGAAGAAUUAUUCGGCUGUGCACUGGACGAGGGGCUUCAAGUUUCCAAACCUGAUAUAAUAUUCCAUUUGGAACAAAGGUGAGAUUUAUGGAUCCUGGAGAGAGAUAUCCCAAGAGAUACUUUUCCAGGUGCGGAGUCAAAAAAAAAAAAAGGCCCUCUUCAAAAAUUAUCAAUGGAUUGGAAACCUUUGAUAUGAUAAAAUGGGACAUCCAAGAUACAGUUGUCUCCUACCUUGAAUCAUGUCAGCAAAGUCAUCACCUAGCUCCUGCAAUUCUCAAAGUGUGAUCCUUCAACCUCUGGGAUUUUCCAAGACCCUUUCAGGAGAUCCUCAACAUCAAAACUAUUUUUAUAAUAAUAAUAAGUUAUUUGCCUAUUAAAAUAUCCUUCCCUUUUUCAACUACAUGUCUGUGUCAGAAUACAUUUUCUUCAUAUUCUUCAACCAAAACAUAUCACAAACAGAUUGAAUUCAGAUAUGAGAAUCCAUCUGUUUUCUAUUCAGCCAGACAUUAAAGAGAUUGGGAAAAAUAUGUAAAACAAUGCCACUCAUGACUAUAUGUAUUUUUUGUUAUGGAAAAAAUAUAUUUUUAAAGUCUAUGUUAACAUGCU
RNAcentral lists this long non-coding RNA (671 nucleotides) under Vombatus ursinus (common wombat). RNAcentral's name for it is "lncRNA (ENSVURG00010004536.1)". Lineage: Eukaryota; Metazoa; Chordata; Mammalia; Diprotodontia; Vombatidae. The record is from RNAcentral.